UACGUAGGGACCGAGCGUUGUCCGGAAUCAUUGGGCGUAAAGAGCGUGUAGGCGGCUAUUUAAGUCCUGCGUGAAAUCCUGCGGCUCAACCGCAGACGGUCGUGGGAAACUGGAUGGCUAGAGUGCGGGAGAGGAGAGUGGAAUUCCCGGUGUAGCGGUGAAAUGCGCAGAUAUCGGGAAGAACACCCGUGGCGAAGGCGGCUCUCUGGAACGCAACUGACGCUGAGACACGAAAGCGUGGGUAGCAAACAGG
RNAcentral lists this ribosomal RNA (253 nucleotides) under uncultured bacterium. RNAcentral's name for it is "partial 16S ribosomal RNA". It matches the Rfam family "Bacterial small subunit ribosomal RNA", at positions 524 to 776 of the family's 1533-position model. The record is from RNAcentral.